This 776-nucleotide ribosomal RNA is filed under the name uncultured Neocallimastigales. Its description in RNAcentral is "partial large subunit ribosomal RNA". It matches the Rfam family "Eukaryotic large subunit ribosomal RNA", at positions 22 to 621 of the family's 3401-position model. Lineage: Eukaryota; Fungi; Neocallimastigomycota; Neocallimastigomycetes; Neocallimastigales. The record is from RNAcentral.
AUAUCAGUCAUGCAUAGCAUAUCAAUAAGCGGAGGAAAAGAAACUAACAAGGAUUCCCUUAGUAACGGCGAGUGAAGCGGGAAGAGCUCAAAUUUGAAAUCUUCAAGGUUUUACCUUGACGAAUUGUAGUUUAAAGAAGUGUUUUCUGUUGAAGUUUUGGUAAAAGUUCUUUGGAAUAGGACAUCAUAGAGGGUGAGAAUCCCGUAUUUGACCAUUACUUUCAGCUUUGUGAUACACUUUCAAAGAGUCGGAUUGUUUGGGAAUGCAGUCCAAAAUGGGUGGUAAAUUUCAUCUAAAGCUAAAUAUUGGCGAGAGACCGAUAGCGAACAAGUACCGUGAGGGAAAGAUGAAAAGAACUUUGAAAAGAGAGUUAAACAGUACGUGAAAUUGUCAAAAGGGAAGCGUUUGACACCAGUGUUGUUUUCUCGAAAAUCAAUUAAAAAGAGUUGGAUUUUGUGUUGUAUUGACUUUAUCAGGCUUUCUUCACUCUUUUCCAGCUUUUUUUAAUGCACUUUUCGUUUAACAAGUCAACAUCAGUUUCUUUUGUUGUAAAAAGGUCAUUGGAAGGUGGCUUUCUCUUCGGAGAAAGUGUUUAUAGUCCUUUGACUCAUGCAAUCGGAGAGACUGAGGUCUGCAGCGUAGAUCCUUCGGGGUUAGAUACAUUUGUGCUAAGUUAUAGCUUUUCAUAGACAACUUGUUGACUAUGUUUAGUCUUGUAGCUUACUCGCUUAUGCUAUUUUACCUACGCUUAGGAUGUUGAACUCUAUCACACACAG